UGAGGAUUCUUGCCACUGGUUCCUUGCAGCUGUGACUCCCCAGGGUAAGAGGCAAAGAGCCACCAGGUCCCAGCUGAGGAAGCCCUGUGGUCAGCUCAGACAGGGAUGCGGACUGAAGCCGAAGCAGGUGUUAGUAACUGUCGUACCUACAGACGAGGAAACUGAGCCUCCAUGAAGUGAAGUGACUCACCCACAGUCACACAGCUAAUAUAUGCCAGAGCCCACAGCAGAACCCAGACGUACUGAGGCCAAGUUCAGUGCCAGCAUAAAACAGGCUCCAGUUCUCCCUGGAUUCCAGGAACACCAUCUCCUUCCUCGUCCCUUCCGUCCCAGGGAAGGUCUCCUGGUUCUUCUAGCCCCUCUAAUUUCCUCUCAUCUCUCCUGUAACAACAAUGAUCAGAAUGAUACCUGAGGAAUAAACCAUAAGAAAAAUGAGCAUUGAGAGGGUUUACACUGAAAAUUUUUUGUGAUGAAAAGAUUUGAAGAAGAUGACAGGAGACGGAGAAGCACCAGCUGAUCUGCAGACUCCAAGGAGGUCCCAGGAAGAGGUGUCAUCCACUAAGAUCUUCUGGGACAGGAAAGCCCUGUGAUACCUCUUACAUCACACCAAACAGAGCCCCAC
RNAcentral lists this long non-coding RNA (622 nucleotides) under Pan troglodytes (chimpanzee). Its description in RNAcentral is "lincRNA". Lineage: Eukaryota; Metazoa; Chordata; Mammalia; Primates; Hominidae. The record is from RNAcentral.